GUGGCCAAGUUUUUAAGGGCGCACGGUGGAUGCCUUGGCACCAGGAACCGAUGAAGGACGUGGGAGGCCGCGAUAGGCCCCGGGAGCUGUCAACCGAGCUUUGAUCCGGGGUGUCCGAAUGGGGAAACCCGGCAGUCGUCAUGGGCUGUCACCCGCUGCUGAACACAUAGCAGUGUGGAGGGAACGCGGGGAAGUGAAACAUCUCAGUACCCGCAGGAAGAGAAAACAACCGUGAUUCCGGGAGUAGUGGCGAGCGAAACCGGAUGAGGCCAAACCAGUCACGUGUGAUACCCGGCAGGGGUUGCGUGGUUGGGGUUGUGGGAUCUCUCUUCUGUUGUCUGCCGGCAACAGGACGAGUCAGAAACCGUUGAUGUAGGCGAAGGACAUGCGAAAGGUCCGGCGUAGAGGGUAAGACCCCCGUAGCUGAAACAUUAGCGGCUCGUUUGAGAGACACCCAAGUAGCACGGGGCCCGAGAAAUCCCGUGUGAAUCUGGCGGACCACCCGUUAAGCCUAAAUAUUCCCUGGUGACCGAUAGCGGAUAGUACCGUGAGGGAAUGGUGAAAAGUACCGCGGGAGCGGAGUGAAAUAGUACCUGAAACCGUGUGCCUA
This 610-nucleotide ribosomal RNA is filed under the name Streptomyces sp. 2224.1. RNAcentral describes it as "bacterial LSU rRNA". It matches the Rfam family "Bacterial large subunit ribosomal RNA", at positions 1 to 566 of the family's 2925-position model. The record is from RNAcentral. Lineage: Bacteria; Bacillati; Actinomycetota; Actinomycetes; Kitasatosporales; Streptomycetaceae.